GCCGCAAGCUUGCAGCAAACAAUUGCUGCAAGCUUGCGGCAAACAUAAUUUGUAUAAUGAUGUUUGCAGCAAGCUUGCCGCAAACCUUAUUUGCAUGGUAUAAUGGUUGCGGCAAGUUUUCAGCAAACGUUUGCUGCAAGCUUGCGGC
RNAcentral lists this small RNA (148 nucleotides) under Mytilus galloprovincialis (Mediterranean mussel). Lineage: Eukaryota; Metazoa; Mollusca; Bivalvia; Mytilida; Mytilidae. The record is from RNAcentral.